GACGAACGCUGGCGGCGUGGAUUAGGCAUGCAAGUCGAACGGUAUCAUCCUUUCGGGGGUGAGAGAGUGGCGAACUGGUGAGUAACACGUAGGUUAUCUACCCUCAAGACGGGGACAACCCAGGGAAACUUGGGCUAAUACCGGAUGUGAGCAACUUUUAGUUGUUUGAAAGGUGGCGUAAGCUGUCGCUUGGGGAUGAGCCUGCGUCCUAUUAGUUAGUUGGUGAGGUAACGGCUCACCUAGGCAAUGAUAGGUAGGCGGCCUUAACGGGUGGUCGCCCACACUGGGAUUGAGAUACGGCCCAGACUCCUACGGGAGGCAGCAGUCGAGAAUAGUCUACAAUGGUCGGAAGACUGAUAGUGCGACGCCGCGUGAACGAUGAAUCCCUUCGGGGUUAAAGUUCUUUUAUAUGUGAGCAGUGCUUUCUUAUAUUAACAGUAUGGGGAAGAGAUAUUAGCAAUAUGAAAUAAGCAACGGCUAACUCCGUGCCAGCAGCCGACGGUAAUA
This 507-nucleotide ribosomal RNA is filed under the name uncultured bacterium. RNAcentral describes it as "bacterial SSU rRNA". It matches the Rfam family "Bacterial small subunit ribosomal RNA", at positions 28 to 525 of the family's 1533-position model. The record is from RNAcentral.